Erpetoichthys calabaricus (reedfish) is the source of this 4600-nucleotide RNA transcript. It is a transcript of the gene named zinc finger protein ZFP2-like, with no coding region annotated. The record is from RefSeq and is a predicted model, not a curated record. The transcript has 5 exons. NCBI's taxonomy places the organism in Eukaryota, Metazoa, Chordata, Cladistia, Polypteriformes, Polypteridae.
GUUGUUUUGCUUGUUAGCUGUCAGUCAGUCUGCAUGUUUGCAGCACAGAAAGAUGUUAUAAGGUACCCAUUGGAAUUCGCUUGAAUUUUAUACAUGCCAAUGAAAGGAUUAAAUCGGAGUACCAUUUAAGGACUAGUCCAAUGUCUUGCUCGUGGCUUUAGCUGCACAAAUAUAUAUUUUGUUAUUGUUUCCUGUGUUAAUUUGCAUUAAGGUAGACGACAGGCGACAGUAGCCAAAUCGAACGAGUGCAAUUCAAAUGAAUCACAGUGUGCAGUGUUCAUCUGUAGAGGGUGUUAAUUACCGCAAUUGCUUCGGUAACUGAGUCAAGAGGAUGGAAGCCCUAAUGUCCGCGUCCUUCAGAGAAGAAUUGGCCCCGACUGUGGAGCAGGCCGUGAAAAUGGCGGUGGACACGGUGGUUUAUGAGUUAGCCAAACUUAUGCAUGGCAAGCUGGCAGAUUUUCAGAAGGACGCGGCAGCCAAGCAGAGGGAAAAUUUGAACUUGAGGUUGCGACUGGACGCAUCUGAGCGUGAGCUCAAAGCCAUGCGCAAGUACAUGGACCUGGCAUACCAUAAGAUGGCCAAAUCCAGUGCAAGUGCACAACAAAAACCUGUCUCUGAUGAUCCCUUCCUCGGCCACUUUCUCGGGAAGCUGGAUGGAACCUCUGAGCUGCUGUUUCCACUUCGACCCAAAGAGGAGGUGCAGUCUAACAUCGAGGGAUGCCCAGAUUUUGCUGGAAAUGGCAAUGGAAGCAACUGUCCGAAGUCUGGUUCUGCUCUGGGGAAUAUAGACAUUCUGGAGGGUCGAUCGGAUCUCAGUGUCCUGAACGACGCGGCUGAUGUGACAGCUUUAUUUCAAGAAAAUGCAAACAAAGCGAACAGUGAACUGCACGUUUCUUUCCACGAUCGAGUUGGACUGGAUGAGCCAGGUGUACUUUCUUGGAACCAAACUGAGAAAGAGGUUGAAGAUAAAACAGCUUUUAAACAAUUUGACCAGAGGCCCAAGAGAGUUCCAGUCAAAGGGAUGAAUGUGGAGGCACUUAAUUAUGCUCAGGAUGUCUCUGAACUUGGUCCUGUGCACAUCAAGGAGGAGGACAGUGAGCUGGACUCUGAAGGCGAUCUGGACUCUGUGCUUGUCAAAGAGCAUCCUAAUUUGGAAUCCCUGAACAUUGAAUGGGAUGACACUGAUGACAGCAAUGGGACUCCAGAAGGUGUGGGACUUCAAUCAAGCAACAACCAAUUAUGUCCUCCACCAUUAGCCUGUGGAAGUACUGCUACAGAAAAAGAGGGAACCGUACAGGGGGCUUCUCAAGUAAGCUCCCAUCUUCCUAGGCUGUCUUCUUCAGAGGGUGUAAAAGCCUUGAUAACUGAUCAUGUCCCGCUUUCUCCUGCUGAGAUGUACCAUGCAGAUGGAAAAGAAAAACAGUCUUUCAUUAACUCGAAGGGCACAGUCUCUAUGAAUAGUGAUGCUUGUUUGGAGGGCAGUUCCAAUCUGAAAGUAUUACAUCACUGCAGUGACUGUGGAAAGAGCUUUACCCGGGUCAGCACCCUCAAGACCCAUCAGUUAAUACACUCUGGAGAAAAUCCUUUCCAGUGCUUGGAUUGUGGAAAGAUGUUCAGAGAAUCUGGCAAACUAAGGAAGCACCUGCUCAGCCACUCUAAAGAACUCUCCGAGUCCCCGCAUGGGUAUGGGGAAACUUUUAUAGCUGCUGUAGGUCUUCAGCAACAUUUCCCAUCUGCAGAUCCAAGCUUGAAUGCAAGUAUGGAGAACAGUAAGAAAGAAGAAGUUAAAGAGCCAAAAUCACACAAAGUGGCAUUAAGUGUGUGUCAUUGUAAUCAGUGUGGUAAGCGAUUCACUCGAACCAGCACCCUUAAAAUACACCAACUAAUUCACACAGGAGAGACACCAUAUCGCUGUAAUGUAUGUGGACGAGGGUUCCGGGAAUCGGGAAAGCUGAAGAGACACCAACAGGUUCACAGUGUCGACACGCCUUAUCACUGUGUUAAAUGUGGUAAGAAUUUCAGACUCUUGGGCACAUUUGAACAACACCAACUUAUGCAUUCUGGGCAGAGCCCAUACAUAUGCACUGACUGUGGUAAAAAAUUCAGUCGACUGAGCAACCUCAAGUCUCAUCAACGUAUUCAUACAGGAGUGACCCCGUUCCGAUGCUCUGAAUGUGGCAAGGGCUUCACUUUGCUUCCAAGUCUCAGGAGACACCUGCGCAUACACACAAAUGAAGCACCUUUUCAAUGCACCGAAUGUGGCAAGAGCUUUAGACAUCCAGAAACGCUUAAGUCACAUCUGCGUAUUCACACUGGAGAAACACCAUACUGUUGCUCAGAUUGUGGAAAGAGAUUCAGUUGCUUGCAGAACCUUAAAAGGCACCAACGGAUUCAUAUGGGAGUGGCUCCCUAUAAGUGCAAUGAUUGUGGGAAGUGUUUCCGUCACUCUGAUACUCUGAAAUCUCACCGUAGAAUCCACACAGGAGAAACCCCAUAUCACUGCACUUCCUGUAGCAAACGCUUCAGGAGACUUGAUGCUCUGAAAAAACAUCAGAGAAUCCACAUUAGGGACCUGGCAACCACUGUGAAAACAGAGUAAAAUUCAUUGGUGAAGUUUAUGUAACUAAGGCCUGCUAAGUUUGCUUUAGGUUUAAAACAGAUGGCUCAUUGUACAGUACAUCAUCUCAGCUGCCAGGUUGCCACACACUAUAUAUUGGUGGCAAAACCAACCACUCAUCUCAAAUGUUGAUACUUUAAUAUUAUAGUAUUUGGUUUUUUUAUGGGUUUUUUUGUUUUUUUUUUAAACAACAUCUUCUCAGACAAUUCUGUGUAGUAGAGGAGGUGUGAUUGUGUAUUAAGUGAUCCAUACUUAAAGUGGUAUUAGAAAUCAUUGAACACUAUCUUACAUCUGAGAUCAUUUCAUGAUUUUAGAUGAGGGCAAGAUGUACAAAAACAAAAUAUUAUAACCUUUAAAAUUAAUUACUGUGUUAAACCUACCAUCAAAGUACCAUUGUUUAUACAGUAGCUGUGACUAUGGUGUAUACCCUUUCUAGCUUGUAAAUAUUUUGGUAGUUAAAUAUAAAGUUUAUGUGUAGUAAGUGGAGACCAUACGGGGAAGUUAAUGGGCAGUUAUUAAUAUUAUAUCUUUUGCCUGUUAUGCAGCAGGAGCCAUUUUCUUUCUUAUUGCUGAGUUGUUAUAUCCAAGCCCCUUCCACACAGAUGCAUGCCUACUGUACCAGUACUUUGCAUGCUAGUGAAAUGGUCACUAAAAUGACAAGUAUCUGUAGUUUUAUUUUUUGAGGCAGAAUAUUUGUUACUGUUUUUUCUCCUAUGUGCCAGUUUGGGAUCCAUUUUAUUUUUGUGACCAACAGUGGUAAUUCAGAGCCAAAAGAAACAAAAGUGUGAUUAAUAUAUAAUAGAAAAGUAGAUUUAUGUUGGAAAGGGUUUGCCUUGCCUUACUGGGAAAGGCAAAAUUGGUUAAUUGGAUAAAGUGUACAUAGGACAGAAAGUGCUUAGUAAGUAAAUGCUAAAUUUUAAAAAGAUGAGGAAGAAAGUCUAAUGUUUCAUCAUACCUGCUGAGAAAGAUUCUUUAAGGGAUGCUAAAUAAAGAAAAACUCUUAGUGAUGAGAUCUUAUUUCAUGCAGUGGCAUUUGGAAAGAAUUGGGUAACAAACAAUCAUACAUCCAUCCAUCAUCCAACCUGCUAUAUCCUAACUACAGGGUCACGGGGGUCUGCUGGAGCCAAUCCCAGCCAACACAGGGUGCAAGGCAGGAAACAAACCCCGGGCAGGGCGCCAGCUCACCGCAGGGCACACACACACCAAGCACACACUAGGGACAAUUUAGGAUCACCAAUGCACCUAACCUGCAUGUCUUUGGACUGUGGGAGGAAACCCACGCAGACACGGGGAGAACAUGCAAACUCCACACAGGGAGGACCCAGGAAUCGAACCCAGGUCUCCUAAAUGCGAGGCAGCAGCGCUACCCACUGCGCCACCGUGCCGCCCUAACAACCAUACAGUUUGGUCUUAAAAGGAAAAUUACUUCAAAGACCCUCAUAAUUGUUUUCUUGCCUUAAUUAUUUUUAUGGACCAGAGAUGUUUGCGGUUUUCAUCCAUCCCUUUUUAUUCUUUCUUAAAAUUCCUUACAUUAGAGGAACGCUUUGUGCUGCUUUGGCAGUUAUGAAUGGAAGGUUGAAUAGAAGUUUAGACAAAGUCUGUCACAAUCACUCAUACUGGGCCAAUUUAGAGUCACCAAUCAACUAACUGCUCCGUCUUUGGUAUUUUAUGUUAUAUACUGUAAUUACCUGGGAAAAGAAAACAAUGCAGACAUAAGCAAAAGGUGUAAACUUUAAACAGACAUUGACUGGGCCCAUGCUCAAACCCAGGUACCUGUAAUUAUAAGGCAACUCUGCUUACUACUUUACAGUUAUCUUUUAGUAAAGUUCUUCUGCAAUGAUUGUGAAAUGAGCCUCAAGUCUCCACUAAUACAAUUGGGUGGUCCCCAAAAACAUGCAAUGAAAAGAAUGCACUUUAAAAAUGUAUAGCAAAGUACAGUCAUGCUGCGCUGACACCAUGCUGAAUCUGGAGCACUUCAGUGUU